AGUGAACGCUGGCGGUAGGCCUAACACAUGCAAGUCGAACGGCAGCACAGGAGAGCUUGCUCUCUGGGUGGCGAGUGGCGGACGGGUGAGGAAUACAUCGGAAUCUACUUUUUCGUGGGGGAUAACGUAGGGAAACUUACGCUAAUACCGCAUACGACCUACGGGUGAAAGCAGGGGACCUUCGGGCCUUGCGCGAUUGAAUGAGCCGAUGUCGGAUUAGCUAGUUGGCGGGGUAAAGGCCCACCAAGGCGACGAUCCGUAGCUGGUCUGAGAGGAUGAUCUGCCACACUGGAACUGAGACACGGUCCAGACUCCUACGGGAGGCAGCAGUGGGGAAUAUCGGACAAUGGGUGCAAGCCUGAUCCAGCCAUACCGCGUGGGUGAAGAAGGCCUUCGGGUUGUAAAGCCCUUUUGUUGGGAAAGAAAUCCAGCUGGCUAAUACCCGGUUGGGAUGACGGUACCCAAAGAAUAAGCACCGGCUAACUUCGUGCCAGCCGCCGCAGUAA
This 506-nucleotide ribosomal RNA is filed under the name uncultured bacterium. RNAcentral's name for it is "partial 16S ribosomal RNA". It matches the Rfam family "Bacterial small subunit ribosomal RNA", at positions 29 to 523 of the family's 1533-position model. The record is from RNAcentral.